RNAcentral lists this long non-coding RNA (978 nucleotides) under Brassica napus (rape). RNAcentral describes it as "long non-coding RNA (BNAP_LNC007767)". Lineage: Eukaryota; Viridiplantae; Streptophyta; Magnoliopsida; Brassicales; Brassicaceae. The record is from RNAcentral.
UUUUAGGAAAAUUAUCAUUUUUGUAGAGAAAUAUUGUAGAUUUGAGAUUGUAAUUUAGAAAGUAGGAUAACAAGAAUUUUUGUUGAUAGAUAGACAUUCUUUUAGAAUAUUUGAUCAAUAGGUUCUUUUUUAAAAUUAGUUUUCAAAAAACUGCUAUUUUGGCAAAGUUACCAUUUUUGUAGACAAAUAUUGUAGAUUUGCUAUCUUGAUUUAGAAUCUAGGAUUACAAGAGUUUUUGUUGAUAGAUGAGCAUUCUUUUAGAAUAUUUGAUCAAUAGGUUCUUUUUAAAAAUAAUUUUUUUAAAAACUGCUGUUUUGGGAAAAUUAUCAUUUUUGUAGACAAAUGAUGUAGAUUUAGUAUUUUGAUUUAGAAAUUAUGAUUACAAGAGUUUUUUUAAUAGAUGAGCAUUUUUUUAGAAUUUUUUAUCAUUAGAAUGUAUUUUUUAAAUAAAUUGUCUAAAAACUGCUAUUUUAGGAAAGUUAUCAUUUUUGUAGAGAAAUAUUGAAGAUUUGGGAUUGUAAUUUAGAAAUUCAGAUAACAAGAGUAUUUGUUGAUAGAUGGACAUUCUUUUAGAAUAUUUGAUCAAUAGGUUCUUUUUUAAAAUAUAGUUUUUUCAAAACCUGCUAUUUUAGGAAAGUUAUCAUUUUUGUAGAGAAAUAUUGUAGAUUUGAGAUUGUAAUUUAGAAGUAGGAUAACAAGAGUUUUUGUCGAUAGAUAGACAUUUAUUUAGAAUAUCAUUUUGUAGAGAAAUAUUGUAGGAUUACAAGUGUUUUUUUAAUAUAUGAGCAUUUUUUUAGAAUUUUUUAUCAUUAGAAUGUAUUUUUUAAAUAAAUUUUCUAAAAACUGCUAUUUUGGAAAAAUUAUCAUUUUUGUAAAGAAAUAUUGAAGAUUUGGCAAUGUAAUUUAGAAAUUCAGAUAACAAGAGUUUUUAUUGAUAAAUGGACAUUCUUUUAGAAUAUUUGAUCAAUAGGUUCUCUU